Molecule: ribosomal RNA, 773 nt
Filed under: uncultured Neocallimastigales
Lineage: Eukaryota; Fungi; Neocallimastigomycota; Neocallimastigomycetes; Neocallimastigales
Description: partial large subunit ribosomal RNA
Rfam family: Eukaryotic large subunit ribosomal RNA (bases 1-663)
Source: RNAcentral
CGCAUCUGUGCAUGCAGCAUAUCAAUAAGCGGAGGAAAAGAAACUAACAAGGCUUCCCUCAGUAACGGCGAGUGAAGCGGGAAGAGCUCAAAUUUGAAAUCUUGAAAGGUCACCUUUCACGAAUUGUAGUUUAAAGAAGUGUUUUCUGUUACGAUCGUAAUAUAAGUUCUUUGGAAUAGGACAUCACAGAGGGUGAGAAUCCCGUCUAUGAUUGCGAUUUGUAGCUUUGUGAUACACUUUCAAAGAGUCGGGUUGUUUGGGAAUGCAGCCCAAAACGGGAGGUAAAUUUCUUCUAAGGCUAAAUAUUGGCGAGAGACCGAUAGCGAACAAGUACCGUGAGGGAAAGAUGAAAAAGAACUUUGAAAAGAGAGUUAAAUAGUACGUGUAAAUUGUCAAAAGGGAAGCGUUUAACACCAGUGUUGUUUUCUGAAAAUCAACCUCUGUUAGCUUUAUGCAUGCUUGUUUAGACCUAAUCAGCUAUCUUGCAUGUUCUAUUGUUUGCAGUGGUGCACUUUUCAGUUUACAGGUCAACAUCAGUUUUUUUUACCGUAAAGAAGUUAAAGAAAGGUAGCUCAUGGCUCCGGUCGUGAGUGUUAUAGUCUUUUUCCUAUGCGGUAGGAGAGACUGAGGUCUGCAGUGUAGGCUAUUUGGCUAGAUACUCAGGUGCUAUGUGAUACCAUUUCAUAAACAACUUGUUGAUUAUGUUUUGUCUAUUGCAUACUCGCUUGUACUAUCAUACCUACGCUUAGGAUGUUGACGAUCAGCUGAGCGCG